Cebus imitator (Panamanian white-faced capuchin) is the source of this 104-nucleotide small nuclear RNA. NCBI's taxonomy places the organism in Eukaryota, Metazoa, Chordata, Mammalia, Primates, Cebidae. The record is from Ensembl.
GUGCUCGCUUCAGCAGCACAUCCACUCAAAUUGGAACAAUACAGAGAUUAGCAUGACCCCUGCACCAGGAUGACAUGCAAAUUCAUGAAGUGUUCCAUAAAAAG